This 253-nucleotide ribosomal RNA is filed under the name uncultured bacterium. Its description in RNAcentral is "partial 16S ribosomal RNA". It matches the Rfam family "Bacterial small subunit ribosomal RNA", at positions 524 to 776 of the family's 1533-position model. The record is from RNAcentral.
UACGGAGGGUGCAAGCGUUGUCCGGAAUCACUGGGCGUAAAGGGCGCGUAGGCGGCUCAUGAAGGCUGUGGUGGAAGUCCGGGGCUCAACCUCGGAUCGGCCGUGGCGACUCGUGGGCUGGAGCACUGUAGAGGCGGGUGGAAUUCCGGGUGUAGCGGUGGAAUGCGUAGAGAUCCGGAAGAACACCAGUGGCGAAGGCGGCCCGCUGGGCAGUGGCUGACGCUGAGGCGCGACAGCGUGGGGAGCAAACAGG